This 301-nucleotide ribosomal RNA is filed under the name uncultured bacterium. Its description in RNAcentral is "partial 16S ribosomal RNA". It matches the Rfam family "Bacterial small subunit ribosomal RNA", at positions 509 to 807 of the family's 1533-position model. The record is from RNAcentral.
CAGCAGCCGCGGUAAUACGAACCGUGCGAACGUUAUUCGGAAUCACUGGGCUUAAAGCGCGUGUAGGCGGGCCGCCACGUCGGCUGCUGAAAUCCCCCGGCUCAACCGGGGAAGUGGCACCGAUACGAGCGGCCUCGAGGGGGGUAGGGGGGCCUGGAACUUCCGGUGGAGCGGUGAAAUGCGUUGAGAUCGGAAGGAACGCCCGUGGCGAAAGCGAGUCCCUGGACCCUUUCUGACGCUGAGACGCGAAAGCCAGGGGAGCGAACGGGAUUAGAUACCCGCGUAGUCCCUGUCUCUUAUA